UCCCACGGGAGGCAGCAGUCGAGAAUCAUUCACAAUGGGGGAAACCCUGAUGGUGCGACGCCGCGUGGGGGAAUGAAGGUCUUCGGAUUGUAAACCCCUGUCAUGUGGGAGCAAAUUAAAAAGAUAGUACCACAAGAGGAAGAGACGGCUAACUCUGUGCCAGCAGCCGCGGUAAUACAGAGGACUCAAGCGGUGUUCGGAAUCACUGGGCGUAAAGCGUGCGUAGGCUGUUUCGUAAGUGGUGUGUGACAGGCGCGGGCUCAACCCGCGGAAGGCACAUGAUACAGCG
Molecule: ribosomal RNA, 289 nt
Filed under: uncultured bacterium
Lineage: Bacteria
Description: partial 16S ribosomal RNA
Rfam family: Bacterial small subunit ribosomal RNA
Source: RNAcentral